This is a non-coding RNA of Callithrix jacchus (white-tufted-ear marmoset), 117 nucleotides long. The record is from Rfam. Lineage: Eukaryota; Metazoa; Chordata; Mammalia; Primates; Cebidae.
GCUGGGUGUGGUGGCUCACACCUGUAAUCCCAGCACUUUGGGAGGCCAAGGUGGGUGAAUCACCUGAGGUCAGGAGUUUGAGACCAACCUGGCCAACAAGGUGAAACCCCAUCUUUA